RNAcentral lists this ribosomal RNA (492 nucleotides) under uncultured bacterium. RNAcentral describes it as "partial 16S ribosomal RNA". It matches the Rfam family "Bacterial small subunit ribosomal RNA", at positions 29 to 507 of the family's 1533-position model. The record is from RNAcentral.
AGUGAACGCUGGCGGUAGGCCUAACACAUGCAAGUCGAACGACCGCACAGUAAGAGUUUGCUCUUACGGGUGGCGAGUGGCGGACGGGUGAGGAAUACAUCACAAUCUACUUUUUCGUGGGGGAUUACGUAGAGCAACUUACGCUAAUACCGCAUACGACCUACGGCUGAAAGCAGGGGAUCUUCGGACCUUGCGCGAUUGAAUGAGCCGAUGCCGGAUUAGCUAGUUGGCGGGGUAAAGGACCACCAAGGCGACGAUCCGUAGCUGGUCUGAGAGGAUGAUCGGCCACACUGGAACUGAGACACGGUCCAGACUCCUACGGGAGGCAGCAGUGGGGAAUAUUGGGCAAUGGGCGCAAGCCUGACCCAGCAAUACCGCGUGGGUGAAGAAGGCCUUCGGGUUGUAAAACCCUUUUAUUGGGAAAGAAAGGCAGUAGGUGUAUAUCCCGCUGUUCUGACGGUACCCAAACAAAAAGCACCGGCUAACUUCGUG